ACGCUGGCGGCAUGCUUUACACAUGCAAGUCGGACGGCAGCACAGAGAAGCUUACUUCUUGGGUGGCGAGUGGCGAACGGGUGAGUAAUAUAUCGGAACGUACCGAGUAAUGGGGGAUAACUAAUCGAAAGAUUAGCUAAUACCGCAUAUUCUCUGAGGAGGAAAGCAGGGGACCUUCGGGCCUUGCGUUAUUCGAGCGGCCGAUAUCUGAUUAGCUAGUUGGUGGGGUAAAGGCCUACCAAGGCGACGAUCAGUAGCGGGUCUGAGAGGAUGAUCCGCCACACUGGGACUGAGACACGGCCCAGACUCCUACGGGAGGCAGCAGUGGGGAAUUUUGGACAAUGGGCGCAAGCCUGAUCCAGCCAUGCCGCGUGUCUGAAGAAGGCCUUCGGGUUGUAAAGGACUUUUGUCAGGGAAGAAAAGGCUGUUGCUAAUACCGACAGCUGAUGACGGUACCUGAAGAAUAAGCACCGGCUAACUACGUGCCAGCAGCCGCGGUAAUACGUAGGGUGCGAGCGUUAAUCGGAAUUACUGGGCGUAAAGCGAGCGCAGACGGUUACUUAAGCAGGAUGCGAAAUCCCCGGGUUCAACCUGGGAACUGCGUUCUGAACUGGGUGACUAGAGUGUGUCAGAGGGAGGUAGAAUUCCACGUGUAGCAGUGAAAUGCGUAGAGAUGUGGAGGAAUACCGAUGGCGAAGGCAGCCUCCUGGGAUAACACUGACGUUCAUGCUCGAAAGCGUGGGUAGCAAACAGGAUUAGAUACCCUGGUAGUCCACGCCCUAAACGAUGUCAAUUAGCUGUUGGGCAACUUGAUUGCUUAGUAGCGUAGCUAACGCGUGAAAUUGACCGCCUGGGGAGUACGGUCGCAAGAUUAAAACUCAAAGGAAUUGACGGGGACCCGCACAAGCGG
Molecule: ribosomal RNA, 910 nt
Filed under: uncultured bacterium
Lineage: Bacteria
Description: bacterial SSU rRNA
Rfam family: Bacterial small subunit ribosomal RNA
Source: RNAcentral